GAUGAACGCUAGCGGUGCGCCUAACACAUGCAAGUCGAGCGCCCUCACUUUGCGAAUAAUCAUUUGAUUGUUCUCAGUGUGAGGGAGCGGCGAACGGGUGAGUAACACGUUGGAACCUACCCCAGACUCAGGGAUAGCCUACCGAAAGGUGGAUUAAUACCGGAUAGUCUCGUAAGAGUAAAGCUUUUGCGGUUUGGGAGGGGCCUGCGGCCUAUCAGCUUGUUGGUAGUGUAAUAGACUACCAAGGCUAUGACGGGUAUCGGGUGUGAGAGCAUGACCCGACACAAUGGAACUGAGACACGGUCCAUACUCCUACGGGAGGCAGCAGUGAGGAAUCUUCCGCAAUGGGCGAAAGCCUGACGGAGCGACACCGCGUGGAGGACGAAGGCCUUUUGGUUGUAAACUCCUUUUCUGGGGGAAUAAAUGAUGAAGGUACCCCAGGAAUAAGCACCGGCUAACUACGUGCCAGCAGCCGCGGUAAUACGUAGGGUGCAAGCGUUAUCCGGAAUUAUUGGGCGUAAAGCGUUCGUAGGUGGUUUGGAAAGUUUGUAGUUAAAUCUGGUCGCUCAACGAUCAACACGCUACAAAAACUUCCAUGAC
Molecule: ribosomal RNA, 600 nt
Filed under: uncultured marine bacterium
Lineage: Bacteria
Description: bacterial SSU rRNA
Rfam family: Bacterial small subunit ribosomal RNA
Source: RNAcentral